Molecule: ribosomal RNA, 254 nt
Filed under: uncultured bacterium
Lineage: Bacteria
Description: partial 16S ribosomal RNA
Rfam family: Bacterial small subunit ribosomal RNA
Source: RNAcentral
UACGUAGGGGGCAAGCGUUGUCCGGAUUUAUUGGGCGUAAAGAGCGUGUAGGCGGCUUUACAGGUCCGUUGUGAAAACUCGAGGCUCAACCUCGAGACGCCGGUGGAAACCGUAAAGCUAGAGUCCGGAAGAGGAGAGUGGAAUUCCUGGUGUAGCGGUGAAAUGCGCAGAUAUCUGGAGGAACACCGGUGGCGAAGGCGGCGAUCCUGGACCAACACUGACACUGAGGAGCGAAAGCCAGGGGAGCAAACAGG